Molecule: long non-coding RNA, 418 nt
Organism: Maylandia zebra (zebra mbuna)
Lineage: Eukaryota; Metazoa; Chordata; Actinopteri; Cichliformes; Cichlidae
Source: RefSeq, a predicted model, not a curated record
AGAGCAUUUAUGGUUGACAAAGACUUUGCGGAAAUAAAUGCUUUGCAGAAGGUUUUUCCAGAGUCAGCUAUCCUUCUAUGCUGGUACCAUGUCUUGCAGGCUGUUAAUCGAUGGCUUUCAAAAUCAGAGUCCGGGGUCCAUGGGCUUUCUAACACCCAAAAGAGAAAUUAAAUCAUUUCUUUCUUUUGUAAGCUGAAAGCUUGCACAUCUGAGGACGACUUUAAAGCCACAUCAGCAGAGUUCUGCCAGACAUUUAAGCAAUACCCUUUGGUGUGCCAGUAUUUUCAGAAGCACUGGGAAGGCAUUGGCCACAUGUGGUGUGACUACGGCCGUCGCUUCAGUCACGCUCGUUCUGAAACAAACAAUGUGAUUGAAAGAUUUUUCCACCGCCUGAAAUACCAGUUUUUAUCUGGCUACA